CCUACGUGGCGCAGCAGUGAGGAAUAUUGGUCAAUGGGCGCGAGCCUGAACCAGCCAAGUAGCGUGAAGGAUGACUGCCCUACGGGUUGUAAACUUCUUUUAUAAAGGAAUAAAGUGAGGCACGUGUGCCUUUUUGUAUGUACUUUAUGAAUAAGGAUCGGCUAACUCCGUGCCAGCAGCCGCGGUAAUACGGAGGAUCCGAGCGUUAUCCGGAUUUAUUGGGUUUAAAGGGAGCGUAGAUGGGUUGUUAAGUCGGUUGUGAAAGUUUGCGGCUCAACCGUAAAAUUGCAAUUGAUACUGGCAGUCUUGAGUACAGUUGAGGUAGGCGGAAUUCGUGGUGUAGCGGUGAAAUGCUUAGAUAUCACGAAGAACUCCGAUUGCGAAGGCAGCUUACUAAACUGCCACUGACAUUGAUGCUCGAAAGUGUGGGUAUCAAACAGGAUUAGAUACCCUUGUAGUC
Molecule: ribosomal RNA, 460 nt
Filed under: uncultured bacterium
Lineage: Bacteria
Description: partial 16S ribosomal RNA
Rfam family: Bacterial small subunit ribosomal RNA
Source: RNAcentral